GACGAACGCUGGCGGCGCGCCUAACACAUGCAAGUCGAACGAGCGAGAGAGAGCUUGCUUUCUCGAGCGAGUGGCGAACGGGUGAGUAACGCGUGAGGAACCUGCCUCAAAGAGGGGGACAACAGUUGGAAACGACUGCUAAUACCGCAUAAGCCCACGGGUCGGCAUCGACCAGAGGGAAAAGGAGCAAUCCGCUUUGAGAUGGCCUCGCGUCCGAUUAGCUAGUUGGUGAGGUAACGGCCCACCAAGGCAACGAUCGGUAGCCGGACUGAGAGGUUGAACGGCCACAUUGGGACUGAGACACGGCCCAGACUCCUACGGGAGGCAGCAGUGGGGAAUAUUGCACAAUGGGGGAAACCCUGGUGCAGCGACGCCGCGUGGAGGAAGAAGGUCUUCGGAUUGUAAACUCCUGUU
Molecule: ribosomal RNA, 414 nt
Filed under: uncultured bacterium
Lineage: Bacteria
Description: bacterial SSU rRNA
Rfam family: Bacterial small subunit ribosomal RNA
Source: RNAcentral